GUGAAUCAUCAAAUCUUUGAACGCAAACUGCACUCUCUGGUAUUCCGGAGAGUAUGCCUGUUUGAGGGUCAGUAUUAACAAAAAAUCGGUUUGGUUGCAAAUUGUGACGUUUCCGGAGUUUGGGCUAUCUUAACUUUUUUGGUUAAGGGGCUUAAAAUUGACCUUAUUUGCGCAUUUUUAGACGUACAUAAAUUUUUUUUUUUUUCCUUUUUUUUUUAUUCCCAAAUUCUAUUUGAUUCCAUU
Molecule: unclassified non-coding RNA, 243 nt
Filed under: Rhizophagus sp. (in: glomeromycetes)
Lineage: Eukaryota; Fungi; Glomeromycota; Glomeromycetes; Glomerales; Glomeraceae
Description: partial contains 5.8S ribosomal RNA and internal transcribed spacer 2
Rfam family: 5.8S ribosomal RNA (bases 1-71)
Source: RNAcentral